AGCAGCAGUGGGUAAUAUUGGACAAUGGGGGCAACCCUGAUCCAGCCAUGCCGCGUGUGUGAUGACGGCCUUAGGGUUGUAAAGCACUUUCAGCAGUGAAGAUAAUGACAUUAACUGCAGAAGAAGCCCCGGCUAACUUCGUGCCAGCAGCCGCGGCAAUACGAAGGGGGCUAGCGUUGUUCGGAAUCACUGGGCGUAAAGAGUCGUAGGCGGACUGAUAAGUUAGGGGUGAAAUCCCAAGGCUCAACCUUGGAACUGCGUUUGAUACUGUCAGUCUUGAGAUCGAGAGAGGUGAGUGGAACUCCGAGUGUAGAGGUGAAAUUCGUAGAUAUUCGGAAGAACACCAGUGGCGAAGGCGGCUCACUGGCUCGAUACUGACGCUGAGGUACGAAAGCGUGGGGAGCAAACAGGAUUAGAUACCCUGGUAGUCCACGCCGUAAACGAUAAAUGCUAGUUGUCAGGUAGCUUGCUAUUUGGUGACGCAGCUAACGCAUUAAGCAUCCGCCGGGAGACGGCGGC
This 519-nucleotide ribosomal RNA is filed under the name uncultured symbiont bacterium of Aplysina cavernicola. RNAcentral describes it as "bacterial SSU rRNA". It matches the Rfam family "Bacterial small subunit ribosomal RNA", at positions 347 to 886 of the family's 1533-position model. The record is from RNAcentral.